RNAcentral lists this ribosomal RNA (3012 nucleotides) under Chloroflexota bacterium. Its description in RNAcentral is "Chloroflexi bacterium (oil production facility metagenome) 23S ribosomal RNA". It matches the Rfam family "Bacterial large subunit ribosomal RNA". Lineage: Bacteria; Bacillati; Chloroflexota. The record is from RNAcentral.
AGGUCAAGAUAGUAAGGGCACAUGGUGGAUGCCUAGGCGUUAAAGGCCGAAGAAGGACGUAGCAGGCUGCGAAAAGCUUCGGGGAGCCGCCAACAGGCGUUGAUCCGGAGAUAUCCGAAUGGGGGAACCCGCCCGGGGGAAUGCCCGGGCACCACCUGUUGAACACAUAGGCAGGUGGGGGGCACGAGGGGAACUGAAACAUCUUAGUACCCUCAGGAAAAGAGAGGAUUCCCCGAGUAGUGGCGAGCGAAAGGGGAGAAGCCCAAACCGAGCGCGUGGCAAGCGUGUGGGCGUUGCGCGCUGGGGGUAGGAAGCACUGGCUGGGGUUGCCACACCGACCCCGAGGAGUGAGAAACCCGCUCUCUAGGGGAAGGGCACUGGAAAGGCCCACCGGAGAGUGUGAGAGUCCCGUACGCGAAAGGGAGCGGGCUCCUGCCAGGGGCUUGAGUACCACGGGGCACGCUAAUCCUGUGGGAAGCAGGGGGGUCCACCCUCCAAGGCUAAAUACCUUUAACGACCGAUAGUGGACAAGUACCGUGAGGGAAAGGUGAAAAGAACCGGGGUGACCGGAGUGAAAUAGAACCUGAAACCAUGUGCCUACAAGCAGUGGGAGGCGGUCGUGAGGCCGCUGACCGCGUGCCUUUUGGAGAAUGAGCCAGCGAGUUACUCUCUGUGGCGAGGUUAAGGGGGCGUACACCCGGAGCCGUAGCGAAAGCGAGUCUGAAGAGGGCGUGCGGCGCGCGAGCGCUGCGUAGUCGCAGGGAGUAGACCCGAAACCAGGUGAGCUACCCAUGGCCAGGCUGAAGCGGGGGUAACACCUCGUGGAGGGCCGAACCCUUCACUGUUGCAAAAGUGAGGGAUGAGCUGUGGGUAGAGGUGAAAUGCCAAACGAACCUGGAGAUAGCUGGUUCUCCCCGAAAUAGCUUUAGGGCUAGCGUCAGGCGAUGCGUCGUGGGGGUAGAGCACUGAAUUGGCUAGGGGGCUUACCGCUUACCGAACCAUAUCAAACUCCGAAUACCACGAUGGGGAGCCUGGCAGUCGGACGGUGGGGGAUGAGCUUCAUCGUCGAGAGGGAAAGAGCCCAGACCACCAGCUAAGGUCCCGAAAUUCGGGCUCAGUGGGAAAGGAAGUGGGAUUACCGAGACAGCCAGGAGGUUGGCUUAGAAGCAGCCAUCCUUCAAAGAGUGCGUAAUAGCUCACUGGUCGAGUGAUCCUGCGCCGACAAUAUAUCGGGGCUAAGCCCGGUACCGAAGCUGUGGGCCCUGGUGUGAGCCGGGGCGGUAGGGGAGCGUUCUGAGGGCGUCGAAGCGGGGCUGCGAGGCCUGGUGGAGUCCUCAGAAGUGAGAAUGCUGGCAUGAGUAGCGAGAAAUGCGUGAGAAACGCAUUCGCCGUAAGUCCGAGGUUUCCGACGGAAGGUUAGUCCUCGUCGGGUUAGUCGGGCCUAAGCCGAGGGCGAGAGCCGUAGGCGAUGGACAACGGGUCAAUAUUCCCGUACCACGUCAAGGCGAUUGAGCGAAGGGGGGACGCAGGAGGGUAGGCCAGCCCGUUAUUGGAUUCGGGUGCCAAGCCUGUAGGGCGAUGAAGGGGGCAGGGAAAUCCGUUCCCGGAGCCUGAGGGGUGAUGGCGGUGGCCUUGAGCCCAGAAGUGGUCGAGCCCACACUGCCGAGAAAAGCCUCUAGCGAGCCUUGCGUGCCCGUACCGCAGACCGACACAGGUGGACGGGUAGAAUAUACCCAGGCGAACGGGGGAACCCUUGUUAAGGAACUAGGCAAAAUGACCCCGUAACUUCGGGAGAAGGGGGGUCUCCCUGGGUGAAGGCGCGAGCCGCUGGAGCCUGGGGGGAUCGCAGAGAAGAGGCCCUGCUGACUGUUUAACAAAAACACAGGUCUCUGCGAAAGCGUAAGCUGACGUAUAGGGGCUGACACCUGCCCAGUGCCGGAAGGUUAAGGGGAGGGGUUAGUGGUCGGGCGACCGACCGCGACGCUUCGAACCGAAGCCCCGGUGAACGGCGGCCGUAACUAUAACGGUCCUAAGGUAGCGAAAUUCCUUGUCGGGUAAGUUCCGACCCGCACGAAUGGUGUAACAAGUGGGGCGCUGUCUCAACAAGGGACCCGGCGAAAUUGAAAUAGGUGUGAAGAUGCAUCUUACCCGCAGCAGGACAAAAAGACCCCGUGGAGCUUUACUGCAGCUUGGUAUUGAGCUAGGGCUCGGUCUGUGUAGGAUAGGUGGGAGACGUUGAAGCUGGGGCGCCAGCCUCGGUGGAGUCGCCGUUGAAAUACCACCCUGAUCGAGUUUUGGCCCUAACCCCCGGCCGUGGAUCCGGCGGGGGGACAGUGCCAGGUGGGCAGUUUGACUGGGGCGGUCGCCUCCCAAAGGGUAACGGAGGCGCCCAAAGGUUCCCUCAGGCUGAAUGGAAACCAGCCGGAGAGUGCAAAGGCAGAAGGGAGCUUGACUGCGAGACCCACACGUCGAGCAGGGACGAAAGUCGGGCUUAGUGAUCUCACGUCGCCGCGUGGAAGGGGCGUGACUUAACGGACAAAAGCUACCCCGGGGAUAACAGGCUAGUCUUGCCCUAGAGUUCACAUCGACGGCAAGGUUCGGCACCUCGAUGUCGGCUCGUCGCAUCCUGGGGGCGGAGAAGCUCCCAAGGGUUGGGCUGUUCGCCCAUUAAAGCGGUACGCGAGCUGGGUUCAGAACGUCGUGAGACAGUUCGGUCUCUAUCCGCUGUGGGCGCAGGUGACUUGAGAGGAGCUGUCCCUAGUACGAGAGGACCGGGAUGGACAAACCUCUGGUGUGCCAGUUGUACCGCCAGGUGCAUCGCUGGGUAGCCACGUUUGGCAGGGAUAACCGCUGAAAGCAUCUAAGUGGGAAGCCCGCCUCAAGAUGAGGUCACCCAUGGCAUAAGCCAGUAAGACCCCUGGAAGACUACCAGGUUGAUAGGCGGCGGGUGUAAGGGCUGUAAGGCCUUGAGCCAAGCCGUACUAAUGGUCGAGGUCUUGAUCUUCCCUUUCU